This 390-nucleotide ribosomal RNA is filed under the name uncultured bacterium. RNAcentral describes it as "bacterial SSU rRNA". It matches the Rfam family "Bacterial small subunit ribosomal RNA", at positions 30 to 419 of the family's 1533-position model. The record is from RNAcentral.
AUUGAACGCUGGCGGAAUGCUUUACACAUGCAAGUCGAGCGGCAGCGCGGGGGCAACCCUGGCGGCGAGCGGCGAACGGGUGAGUAAUAUAUCGGAACGUGCCCAGUCGUGGGGGAUAACGUAGCGAAAGCUACGCUAAUACCGCAUACGAUCUAUGGAUGAAAGCGGGGGGAUCGCAAGACCUCGCGCGAUUGGAGCGGCCGAUAUCAGAUUAGGUAGUUGGUGGGGUAGAAGCCUACCAAGCCUUCGAUCUGUAGCUGGUCUGAGAGGACGACCAGCCACACUGGAACUGAGACACGGUCCAGACUCCUACGGGAGGCAGCAGUGGGGAAUUUUGGACAAUGGGCGCAAGCCUGAUCCAGCAAUGCCGCGUGCAGGAUGAAGGCCUUC